RNAcentral lists this ribosomal RNA (468 nucleotides) under uncultured bacterium. Its description in RNAcentral is "partial 16S ribosomal RNA". It matches the Rfam family "Bacterial small subunit ribosomal RNA", at positions 28 to 507 of the family's 1533-position model. The record is from RNAcentral.
GACGAACGCUGGCGGCGUGCUUAACACAUGCAAGUCGAACGGAAAGGCCCUGCUUUUGUGGGGUGCUCGAGUGGCGAACGGGUGAGUAACACGUGAGUAACCUGCCCUUGACUUUGGGAUAACUUCAGGAAACUGGGGCUAAUACCGGAUAGGAGCUCCUGCUGCAUGGUGGGGGUUGGAAAGUUUCGGCGGUUGGGGAUGGAUUCGCGGCUUAUCAGCUUGUUGGUGGGGUAGUGGCUUACCAAGGCUUUGACGGGUAGCCGGCCUGAGAGGGUGACCGGCCACAUUGGUACUGAGAUACGGCCCAGACUCCUACGGGAGGCAGCAGUGGGGAAUAUUGCACAAUGGGCGGAAGCCUGAUGCAGCAACGCCGUGUGCGGGAUGCCGGCCUUCGGGUUGUAAACCGCUUUCGCCUGUGACGAAGCGUGAGUGACGGUAAUGGGUAAAGAAGCACCGGCUAACUACGUG